Molecule: long non-coding RNA, 217 nt
Organism: Oncorhynchus gorbuscha (pink salmon)
Lineage: Eukaryota; Metazoa; Chordata; Actinopteri; Salmoniformes; Salmonidae
Exons: 3
Source: RefSeq, a predicted model, not a curated record
CCCAGCAGUACAACAGGAAGAAGAAAGACCACAGUAAAGACGCUGCUUAUCUGGGUAAAAUCCUAGAAGGAUUCACCCUGGCCUCCGAUAAGCUGGAGACCAAAACAAUCUUCCCUCCUCCCAACCUGCCCAGAGACUUCAGGCGGUCCACUACUUCCGUCCAGUGGUGGACCUGUCCAGCGUCAGCCCCAUGGUAGCCCAGGCCCUGAAGAGCGUC